GAUUGAACGCUGGCGGCAUGCCUUACACAUGCAAGUCGAACGGCAGCACGGGUGCUUGCACCUGGUGGCGAGUGGCGAACGGGUGAGUAAUACAUCGGAACAUGUCCUGUAGUGGGGGAUAGCCCGGCGAAAGCCGGAUUAAUACCGCAUACGAUCUACGGAUGAAAGCGGGGGACCUUCGGGCCUCGCGCUAUAGGGUUGGCCGAUGGCUGAUUAGCUAGUUGGUGGGGUAAAGGCCUACCAAGGCGACGAUCAGUAGCUGGUCUGAGAGGACGACCAGCCACACUGGGACUGAGACACGGCCCAGACUCCUACGGGAGGCAGCAGUGGGGAAUUUUGGACAAUGGGCGAAAGCCUGAUCCAGCAAUGCCGCGUGUGUGAAGAAGGCCUUCGGGUUGUAAAGCACUUUUGUCCGGAAAGAAAUCCUUGGCCCUAAUACGGUCGGGGGAUGACGGUACCGGAAGAAUAAGCACCGGCUAACUACGU
RNAcentral lists this ribosomal RNA (486 nucleotides) under uncultured bacterium. RNAcentral describes it as "partial 16S ribosomal RNA". It matches the Rfam family "Bacterial small subunit ribosomal RNA", at positions 27 to 506 of the family's 1533-position model. The record is from RNAcentral.